This 792-nucleotide ribosomal RNA is filed under the name Methanosaeta sp. enrichment culture clone A22111. RNAcentral's name for it is "bacterial SSU rRNA". It matches the Rfam family "Archaeal small subunit ribosomal RNA", at positions 85 to 879 of the family's 1478-position model. Lineage: Archaea; Methanobacteriati; Methanobacteriota; Methanomicrobia; Methanotrichales; Methanotrichaceae. The record is from RNAcentral.
ACUGCUCAGUAACACGUGGAGACCUGCCCUUAGGACGGGGAUAAACCCGGAAAACUGGGUAUAAUACCCGAUAGGUCUCGAUUGCUGGAAUGCAUCGAGAUUUAAAGCUCCGGCGCCUAAGGAUGGGUCUGCGGCCUAUCAGGUAGUAGUGGGUGUAGCGUACCUACUAGCCUACGACGGGUACGGGUUGUGAGAGCAAGAGCCCGGAGAUGGAUUCUGAGACACGAAUCCAGGCCCUACGGGGUGCAGCAGGCGCGAAAACUUUACAAUGCUGGCAACAGCGAUAAGGGAACCUCGAGUGCCAGGUUACAAAUCUGGCUGUCGAGAUGCCUAAAAAGCAUUUCAUAGCAAGGGCCGGGCAAGACCGGUGCCAGCCGCCGCGGUAACACCGGCGGCUCGAGUGGUAACCGUUAUUAUUGGGUCUAAAGGGUCUGUAGCCGGCCGGAUAAGUCUCUUGAGAAAUCUGGCAGCUUAACUGUCAGGCUUUCAGGAGAUACUGUCUGGCUCGAGGCCGGGAGAGGUGAGAGGUACUUCAGGGGUAGGGGUGAAAUCUUGUAAUCCUUGAAGGACCACCAGUGGCGAAGGCGUCUCACCAGAACGGACCUGACGGCAAGGGACGAAAGCUAGGGGCACGAACCGGAUUAGAUACCCGGGUAGUCCUAGCCGUAAACGAUACUCGCUAGGUGUCGGCCACGGUGCGACCGUUGUCGGUGCCGUAGGGAAGCCGUGAAGCGAGCCACCUGGGAAGUACGGCCGCAAGGCUGAAACUUAAAGGAAUUGGCGGGGGAGCAC